Molecule: long non-coding RNA, 992 nt
Organism: Mirounga angustirostris (Northern elephant seal)
Lineage: Eukaryota; Metazoa; Chordata; Mammalia; Carnivora; Phocidae
Exons: 3
Source: RefSeq, a predicted model, not a curated record
UAAAUGGGAUGAAAUACCUUAUGUUCAGUCUUUUUUUUUUUUUUUUUUUGCUUUUGUAUCAAAAUAUGCCAGGUCAGAAAAGAUGUAAAAUUCUACAACAAACCAGUAACACUAAAAAGCCUGUGUUGCCUGAUUCUCACCAGGGAGAGGAGGAGGAUUUAUUGAUUACGUGGAUUUAACUCCCCUACAGCUCUUCCACUCUAUGGGAGCACCAGAGCUACUGCCUGUACUCAGCAGCCCCAGUCCCAACAACCUGAGCCCCCACAGAGCCCAAACCAGGACCCUCAGCUUCAGGGGGCCAACAGGAGUGAGGAAUGCCACAUGAUGCUAGAAAAGGCUAGGGAAGAAGUUACCUGGCUGCACGCUAAAACCCCCAAUAACUCCCUAAGAGCAAAUCCAUGAUGCCCAUUCCUACUAUGAAUCCCAACUGGAACAUCAGUAUUGGAGACUGAGCAUUUACAAUAACCAAGAUAUGAAAGCAAGCCCAGUGUCCAUCAACAGAUGAAAAGAUAGAGAAGAUAUGGGAGCACUUGUGUGGUGCAGUCGAUUAAGCAUCUGACUCUUGGUUUUGGCUCAGGUCAUGAUCUCAGGGUUGUGGUACUGAACCCUGCAUCAGGCUCUGCCCUCAGCACAGAGUCUGCUUGAGAUUCUCUCUUCCUCUUCCUCUGCCCAUCCCAUGCGUGCUCUUUCUCUUUCUCAUAAAUAAAUAAAUCUUUUUUGGACGCCUGGGUGGCUCAGUUGGUUAAGCGACUGCCUUCGGCUCAGGUCAUGAUCCUGGAGUCCCAGGAUCGAGUCCCACAUUGGGCUCCCUGCUCAGCAGGGAGUCUGCUUCUCCCUCUGACCCUCCCCCCUCUCAUGUUCUCUUUCUCUCACAUAAAUAAAUAAAUAAAUAAAUAAAUAAAUAAAUAAAUAAAUAAACUUUUUAAAAGGAAAGAAGAUAUGGUAUAUUUAUACAAUGGAAUAUUACUCAGCCAUAAAAAGAAUGACAUCUU